RNAcentral lists this ribosomal RNA (508 nucleotides) under uncultured Gram-positive bacterium. Its description in RNAcentral is "bacterial SSU rRNA". It matches the Rfam family "Bacterial small subunit ribosomal RNA", at positions 8 to 521 of the family's 1533-position model. The record is from RNAcentral.
AGAGUUUGAUCCUGGCUCAGGAUGAACGCUGGCGGCGUGCUUAACACAUGCAAGUCGAACGGGGUACCCAUGACAGAGGCUUCGGCCAAUUGAUUGGAAUACCUAGUGGCGGACGGGUGAGUAACGCGUGAGCAAUCUGCCUUGGAGUGGGGAAUAACAGUUGGAAACAGCUGCUAAUACCGCAUAAUACAGUUGUGUCGCAUGGCACUGACUGUCAAAGAUUUAUCGCUCUGAGAUGAGCUCGCGUCUGAUUAGCUAGUUGGUGAGGUAACGGCUCACCAAGGCGACGAUCAGUAGCCGGACUGAGAGGUUGGCCGGCCACAUUGGGACUGAGACACGGCCCAGACUCCUACGGGAGGCAGCAGUGGGGAAUAUUGGGCAAUGGGCGCAAGCCUGACCCAGCAACGCCGCGUGAAGGAAGAAGGCUUUCGGGUUGUAAACUUCUUUCUGAGGGACGAUAGGACGUACCUCAGAUAGCCCGGGCNUACUACNUGCCAGCAGCCGCGGU